GGAGAACGGGGGGCCGGGAGGUGGGGGAAUACGUGGGGCCCGGGGGUGGACCGGGAUUAUAGGGGGUAAAGCGGGCGCAGGGGGUGAGAUAGGUUUGGAGGGAAAGGCAGGGGCUCAACCAGGGUAGGCGUUGGAAACUGUUUAACUGGAGUGCAGAAGGGGAGAGGGGAAUUCCAUGUGUAGCGGUGAAAUGCGUAGAUAUAUGGAGGAACACCGGUGGCGAAAGCGGCUCUCUGGUCUGUAACUGACGCUGAGGCUCGAAAGCGUGGGGAGCGAACAGGAUUAGAUACCCCAGUAGUC
This 300-nucleotide ribosomal RNA is filed under the name uncultured Staphylothermus sp. Its description in RNAcentral is "bacterial SSU rRNA". The stretch from base 56 to 300 matches the Rfam family "Bacterial small subunit ribosomal RNA", at positions 550 to 795 of the family's 1533-position model. Lineage: Archaea; Thermoproteati; Thermoproteota; Thermoprotei; Desulfurococcales; Desulfurococcaceae. The record is from RNAcentral.